Molecule: small RNA, 163 nt
Filed under: Arabidopsis thaliana (thale cress)
Lineage: Eukaryota; Viridiplantae; Streptophyta; Magnoliopsida; Brassicales; Brassicaceae
Description: ATSL030690
Source: RNAcentral
AAAAAAGAAACAACAACGUUACAAAACAAAACUGGUUAAAUUAUUUUCUAGAAUAACAUGUGAUGUGUAUUUUAUUCAGUAAGCAUCUCCUUAGUAUAUGAAUAUAAAUUUACAAAUAAAAGUAAUACAAGAUCCUAAUACAAGGAAAACAGAAAGAAAAAAA